GACGAACGCUGGCGGCGUGCUUAACACAUGCAAGUCGAGCGGUAAGGCCCUUUCGGGGGUACACGAGCGGCGAACGGGUGAGUAACACGUGGGUGACCUGCCCUCAGCUCUGGGAUAAGCCUGGGAAACUGGGUCUAAUACUGGAUAUGACUCCACGGUGCAUGUCGUGGGGUGGAAAGCCUUGUGCGGCUGAGGAUGGGCCCGCGGCCUAUCAGCUUGUUGGUGGGGUGANGGCCUACCAAGGCGACGACGGGUAGCCGGCCUGAGAGGGCGACCGGCCACACUGGGACUGAGACACGGCCCAGACUCCUACGGGAGGCAGCAGUGGGGAAUCUUGGACAAUGGGCGCAAGCCUGAUCCAGCCAUGCCGCGUGAGUGAUGAAGGCCUUAGGGUUGUAAAACUCUUUCGCCGAGGACGAUAAUGACGGUACUCGGAGAAGAAGCUCCGGCUAACUUCGUGCCAGCCGCCGCCGUAAG
RNAcentral lists this ribosomal RNA (477 nucleotides) under uncultured bacterium. RNAcentral describes it as "bacterial SSU rRNA". It matches the Rfam family "Bacterial small subunit ribosomal RNA", at positions 28 to 524 of the family's 1533-position model. The record is from RNAcentral.